GACUGGUUGCGUAAAAGGAAGGUAUUAGCACCCUAAAUACGCCUUACCUAAGGUAAGCUACAUUGUUUGAUUGUCUGAUAAAAAGUUAAGGUGUUAUUGUAUUUCUAGUUGUUGGUCCGUCUAUGGUUCAAGAAAAGUCCUCCUCAAUAAGGAGGUCCUUAUCUUAUCGAGAUAAAACCUAACUGG
Long non-coding RNA from Populus euphratica (Euphrates poplar), 186 nucleotides. RefSeq lists it as uncharacterized. The transcript is spliced from 3 exons. Lineage: Eukaryota; Viridiplantae; Streptophyta; Magnoliopsida; Malpighiales; Salicaceae. The record is from RefSeq and is a predicted model, not a curated record.